Molecule: ribosomal RNA, 497 nt
Filed under: uncultured bacterium
Lineage: Bacteria
Description: partial 16S ribosomal RNA
Rfam family: Bacterial small subunit ribosomal RNA
Source: RNAcentral
GAUGAACGCUGGCGGCGUGCCUAAUACAUGCAAGUCGAGCGAACAGACGAGGAGCUUGCUCCUCUGACGUUAGCGGCGGACGGGUGAGUAACACGUGGAUAACCUACCUAUAAGACUGGGAUAACUUCGGGAAACCGGAGCUAAUACCGGAUAAUAUAUUGAACCGCAUGGUUCAAUAGUGAAAGACGGGUUUGCUGUCACUUAUAGAUGGAUCCGCGCCGCAUUAGCUAGUUGGUAAGGUAACGGCUUACCAAGGCAACGAUGCGUAGCCGACCUGAGAGGGUGAUCGGCCACACUGGAACUGAGACACGGUCCAGACUCCUACGGGAGGCAGCAGUAGGGAAUCUUCCGCAAUGGGCGAAAGCCUGACGGAGCAACGCCGCGUGAGUGAUGAAGGUCUUCGGAUCGUAAAACUCUGUUAUUAGGGAAGAACAAAUGUGUAAGUAACUAUGCACGUCUUGACGGUACCUAAUCAGAAAGCAACGGCUAACUACGUG